Molecule: small nuclear RNA, 197 nt
Organism: Dermacentor albipictus
Lineage: Eukaryota; Metazoa; Arthropoda; Arachnida; Ixodida; Ixodidae
Product: U2 spliceosomal RNA
Source: RefSeq, a predicted model, not a curated record
AGAACGCCGAGAGGCUGGCCGAUGCGGGUCAAAGUGUGGUGUCUGUUCUUAUCAGCUUAAUAUAUGAUACGGGUUGUAUUUGGAUCUAAGAUAUUAAACUUAUUUUUGAUAGUUACCGGAGUGCUUGAAGCCUGCUUCACCUCCGCCACGGGUCAGCCAUGUAUUACACCGACUUUGGGAGAAAUUGUCGAUCUACA